This 85-nucleotide transfer RNA is filed under the name Flavobacteriales bacterium. RNAcentral's name for it is "tRNA-Leu". It matches the Rfam family "tRNA". From Rfam's summary of the family: Transfer RNA (tRNA) molecules are approximately 80 nucleotides in length. Their secondary structure includes four short double-helical elements and three loops (D, anti-codon, and T loops). Lineage: Bacteria; Pseudomonadati; Bacteroidota; Flavobacteriia; Flavobacteriales. The record is from RNAcentral.
GCCCAGAUGGCGGAAUUGGUAGACGCGCUGGUCUCAAACACCUGUGGGGCAACCCGUGCCGGUUCGACUCCGGCUCUGGGCACCA